This 404-nucleotide unclassified non-coding RNA is filed under the name soil metagenome. RNAcentral's name for it is "partial contains 5.8S ribosomal RNA, internal transcribed spacer 2, and large subunit ribosomal RNA". The stretch from base 1 to 122 matches the Rfam family "5.8S ribosomal RNA", at positions 35 to 154 of the family's 154-position model. The record is from RNAcentral.
GAUGAAGAACGUAGCAAAAUGCGAUACUUGGUGUGAAUUGCAGAAUCCCGUGAACCAUCGAGUUUUUGAACGCAAGUUGCGCCCGAAGCCUUUUGGCCGAGGGCACGUCUGCCUGGGCGUCACGCAUCGCGUCGCCCCCCACAAUUCUCCGUAAAGGGAACGUGUGUUUUGGGGGCGGAUAUUGGUCUCCCGUGCUCAUGGCGUGGUUGGCCGAAAUAGGAGUCCUUUCGAUGGACGCACGAACUAGUGGUGGUCGUAAAAACCCUCGUCUUUUGUUUCGUGCUGUUGCUCGCAAGGUAAACUCUUUAAAAACCCCAAUGUGUCGUCUCUUGACGACGCUUCGACCGCGACCCCAGGUCAGGCGUGACUACCCGCUGAGUUUAAGCAUAUCAAUAAGCGGAGGA